GGACACAGCCUUAAGCUGUGCCAGGGGAAGUUUAGCUUGGACAUCAGGAAAAAAUUCUUCACUGAAAGAGUGAUUGGGUACUGGAAUCUUCUGCCCAGGGAGGUGGAGGAGUCACUGUCCCUGGACAUGUUUGAGAAAAGACUGGGCAUGGCACUCAGGGCCAUGGUUUAGUUGAUGAGGAGGUGUUAGGUUAGGUCAUAGGUUGGACUUGAUGAUCUCAAAGGUCUUUUCCAGCCUGGCUCAUUGUGUGAUUCUGUGAUCUGCACCUCCCAGAGGCGCUGGGCAGGGUCUGACAGCAGGCGUGGGUUGGGAAAUCAACAUCCAUCUUUUUCAUAUAGGUGUAUAAAUAUCUCCUAAUGUGGAAGUGGCUGUGUCUCCGUGUGGGGUGGGGGGAUCUGCAUGGGUUUUCUUUUGAUUCACCAGGUGAGGGAGAGGUGGGGUGACUACAGAGACUGUGGAAGUGAGGGCUGUGGCUGCCCUGAUGGCUUUGGCAGUCAGGAGGAGCCGUGGUGUGGAGGUCAGGUCAGUGUCUGCAGUAGAGAACUCUGAAGCCAUAACUUUUAACUGGAGUGGUUUUGAUUAUUAUUAUUUUUUUAAUUAUUAUUGUUGUUGUUAUUAUUAUUAUUAUUAUUGUUUUCUGGGAGGGUCUGGAUUUUAACUUUUUUGAAUAUUGUUAAUUCUUUCUAAGAGCAGAAAAACAAUCUCUAAUUAUUACCUCUUGACCUGUUGGUUUGUAAAGAAAUCACUGAAAAAAAAAAAAAAAAAGAAAGAAAAAACCAAAUGCACAGCUCGAUUUACACUGGAACUGUUUCUACUCUGACCUUGCUCCUGCUCUCUAAGGUGAGGUUUCAUCUCUGCUCUGGCUGCCAGGGUUGUCUUUAUUUCAGUCCCUCUGUUCUUGCUGUCUGUCCCUGUCCGUGUGUCCCUCUCCCCGAUUCCCCGUGUGUCCAUGACCUUGUACAAAGUGAGGAGUGGGUUUUGAAUCAUGUUAGGAGCUGGUUUGCACCCCCCAAGGAGGUUUUGGGAGUGUGGAUCUGCCCUGGGGGCAGGGCUGGGGCUCCCCUGUCCCCUCCCAGCUUGUCCUGAGUCAUCUCAGCCCGAGCUUCCCAGCUGCCCGUGUCCCUUAAACCUGAGUUCAGGAGCCAAGGGGGCACCUGCAGGCCCUAAAUGUAGGUUUAGCCUAGUUAAACCUGGACUUGGAAGCUGAGGGGGGCACUUGAAGCCCUAAAUGUCAGUUUAACUCUGUUAAACCUGGACUUAGAAGCUGAGGGGGGCACUUGAAGCCCUGAAUGUCAGUUUAACUCAGUUAAACCUGGACUUAAAAUCUGAGGGAGUCACUUCCAAGCCCUAAAUAUCAGUUUAACUCUGUUAAACCUGGACUUGGAAGCCGAGAGGGGCACUUGCAGGCCCCAAAUGUAGGUUUAUCCCAGUUAAACCUGGACUUAGAAGCCAAAAUGUCCGUUUACCCCAGUUAAAGCUGGACUUGGACCCCGAAGGGGGCACUCGAAGCCCUGACUGUCAGUUUACCCCAGUUAAAGCUGGACUUGGACCCCGAAGGGGGCACUCGAAGCCCUGACUGUCAGUUUACCCCAGUUAAAGCUGAUUCAGAAGCCGAGGGGGGCACUGGAAGCCCUAAAUGUCAGUUUACCCCAGUUAAAGCUGAUUUAGAAGCCGAGGGGGACACUGGAAGCCCUGGGCACUCCCAGGCCGUUGGAGCAGAGCCGGGCUGGGAGCUGGGCAGGGCAGAGGGGCCUGGCACAGCUCUGGGUACUGCAGGCUCCCCCCUGGCACUCCCCUGGGUGCCAGCAGCUCUGAAACUCGCACUGAACUCGCCCCCUCCAACUGUAGCCACACUGCACCUGCCUCAGCGCCAAACCAAACAGGGCUCAGGAAGGGAAGGAUUUUAGGGAAAGCCUUGUUUCCCUGAAAGGAGAGAGAUGGGGAAAAGCCAGCAGGAACCAACGCUGACCAUGUAGCAUUUUCACAGCACUUUUCAUGCAAACCGGUGCCCGGGGGCACCAGUGCUUGCCGAGCUGACUGAGCACGUGGGAAUUGCUGCCUGCCUCCAAAAAGUUGCAGCAGCUCUGGGGAAAAAAAUAAAAAAAAAAUAAAAAAACAAGCAGCAUUCCACCAGGCAGUUCCGAGGGGAAGCAGGUGCAGGACAAGGAGGGGGGGUCCAUCAGCGGUACGUGGCUGCAGGACAGAAUCUUGGUACUUCUCUGCCCCUUUGAUUUGUUUGGUUUUGUACAUUUUCUUAGCAAAGGACUGUAAGAAAAUAGCCACUUAGCCACUUUACCUCUUCAGUAUGCAAAUGUACAUACGGUGUAAGAUAGGAAAUCUUUUGUUUAAUAUAAAACCAGGCUGUCGAUUUCUGCUGUACAUUAUUAAAAGGUUGUUUUAUUCA
Long non-coding RNA from Passer montanus (Eurasian tree sparrow), 2404 nucleotides. RefSeq lists it as uncharacterized. The record is from RefSeq and is a predicted model, not a curated record. The transcript has 2 exons. Lineage: Eukaryota; Metazoa; Chordata; Aves; Passeriformes; Passeridae.